Long non-coding RNA from Hemicordylus capensis (graceful crag lizard), 823 nucleotides. RefSeq lists it as uncharacterized. NCBI's taxonomy places the organism in Eukaryota, Metazoa, Chordata, Lepidosauria, Squamata, Cordylidae. The transcript is spliced from 3 exons. The record is from RefSeq and is a predicted model, not a curated record.
AACUCUAGAAGAAUGAUUUAGUCUAUAUUAUGAGAUGAACUAGAACCAUGUUGAUCACGUAAGCAGAGAGCAGCUAGUAUAGACUAUUUAGAAUCAAUGUAUAGGGAUUAGCUUAGUAGGUCUAUCUCAGUCUGAGAGCCAAUGAAAGCACUGGCUCCUCCUUUUCCUUACUCCUUCUUGCUGAUCCUACUGGUAGUGGGGGAAAUACCCUCUCUGGGAAAGAGACUUUUAAUCCUCACCUGAACUUGGCUAAAAACAAUGGUCUCUUUUUACUUAAUGUGUUUAAUGUCCAAGCAUCAUCAAUCUGAAUGAACUCAACAACAAACUCUGAGGAAACAGCAUCCAUGAUAUUUCCAGGAGCAGAAACAGUGAAAACGGAGUGCAGUCCUACUUACACAGAUUGGAAGAGCAAGAAAGUAAUGGUGACCCACACACCCCAAACAUGAUGCCCUGUGUGAUUCUGAGAAAAUUGUGACCCCCUUUGGCACGGAGAUCCACUCCCUUCUUCCUUUUGCUAUGUAAACCACUCCAUGAACUCUUUUUGUUGAAAUUUGAAAAGCAAUAUGUAAAUAGUCUUAAUGUUUGGAAAACAUCAUCUUGAAAAGCUGCUGAAACUAUAUGGUGAGUCUUCAACAAGCCUGAUUUGAAGCCUUUCUGGGAUUUGCAAUGAGAGAUACUUUGAAGAUCUUCCAAGAGUUUAACUCAAUGCUAACUGAUGGGUCAGUUUGACAGUAGCAUUUAUUUUAAUGAAUUAUAUCUGUAAAGUUCCUCAAAUGAAUCCAUAAUACAUAAUAAAUGUAUUAAAUAAAUACAUAUGUAUGCA